This 470-nucleotide ribosomal RNA is filed under the name rape rhizosphere bacterium tsb041. Its description in RNAcentral is "bacterial SSU rRNA". It matches the Rfam family "Bacterial small subunit ribosomal RNA", at positions 27 to 492 of the family's 1533-position model. The record is from RNAcentral.
GAUUGAACGCUGGCGGCAGGCCUAACACAUGCAAAUCGAGCGGAUGAGAGGAGCUUGCUCCUGGAUUCAGCGGCGGACGGGUGAGUAAUGCCUAGGAAUCUGCCUGGUAGUGGGGGACAACGUUUCGAAAGGAACGCUAAUACCGCAUACGUCCUACGGGAGAAAGCAGGGGACCUUCGGGCCUUGCGCUAUCAGAUGAGCCUAGGUCGGAUUAGCUAGUUGGUGAGGUAAUGGCUCACCAAGGCGACGAUCCGUAACUGGUCUGAGAGGAUGAUCAGUCACACUGGAACUGAGACACGGUCCAGACUCCUACGGGAGGCAGCAGUGGGGAAUAUUGGACAAUGGGCGAAAGCCUGAUCCAGCCAUGCCGCGUGUGUGAAGAAGGUCUUCGGAUUGUAAAGCACUUUAAGUUGGGAGGAAGGGCUGUAGAUUAAUACUCUGCUAAUUUGACGUUACCGACAGAAUAAGCA